RNAcentral lists this ribosomal RNA (253 nucleotides) under uncultured bacterium. RNAcentral describes it as "partial 16S ribosomal RNA". It matches the Rfam family "Bacterial small subunit ribosomal RNA", at positions 524 to 776 of the family's 1533-position model. The record is from RNAcentral.
UACGGAGGGGGCUAGCGUUGUUCGGAAUUACUGGGCGUAAAGCGCACGUAGGCGGCUUUGCAAGUCAGAGGUGAAAGCCCGGGGCUCAACCCCGGAAUUGCCUUUGAGACUGCAUCGCUAGAAUUGUGGAGAGGUAAGUGGAAUUCCGAGUGUAGAGGUAAAAUUCGUAGAUAUUCGGAAGAACACCAGUGGCGAAGGCGACUUACUGGACACAUAUUGACGCUGAGGUGCGAAAGCGUGGGGAGCGAACAGG